This 468-nucleotide ribosomal RNA is filed under the name uncultured bacterium. RNAcentral describes it as "partial 16S ribosomal RNA". It matches the Rfam family "Bacterial small subunit ribosomal RNA", at positions 28 to 507 of the family's 1533-position model. The record is from RNAcentral.
GACGAACGCUGGCGGCGUGCUUAACACAUGCAAGUCGAACGGAAAGGCCCUGCUUUUGUGGGGUGCUCGAGUGGCGAACGGGUGAGUAACACGUGAGUAACCUGCCCUUGACUUUGGGAUAACAUCAGGAAACUGGGGCUAAUACCGGAUAGGAGCUCCUGCUGCAUGGUGGGGGUUGGAAAGUUUCGGCGGUUGGGGAUGGACUCGCGGCUUAUCAGCUUGUUGGUGGGGUAGUGGCUUACCAAGGCUUUGACGGGUAGCCGGCCUGAGAGGGUGGCCGGCCACAAUGGGACUGAGAGACGGCCCAGAAGCCUACGGGAGGCAGCAGUGGAGAAUAUUGCACAAUGGGCGGAAGCCUGAUGCAGCAACGCCGCGUGCGGGAUGACGGCCUUCGGGUUGUAAACCGCUUUCGCCUGUGACGAAGCGUGAGUGACGGUAAUGGGUAAAGAAGCACCGGCUAACUACGUG